UGGGGAAUAUUGGACAAUGGGCGCAAGCCUGAUCCAGCCAUGCCGCGUGAGUGAUGAAGGCCCUAGGGUUGUAAAGCUCUUUUGUGCGGGAAGAUAAUGACUGUACCGCAAGAAUAAGCCCCGGCUAACUUCGUGCCAGCAGCCGCGGUAAUACGAAGGGGGCUAGCGUUGCUCGGAAUCACUGGGCGUAAAGGGUGCGUAGGCGGGUCUUUAAGUCAGGGGUGAAAUCCUGGAGCUCAACUCCAGAACUGCCUUUGAUACUGAGGAUCUUGAGUUCGGGAGAGGUGAGUGGAACUGCGAGUGUAGAGGUGAAAUUCGUAGAUAUUCGCAAGAACACCAGUGGCGAAGGCGGCUCACUGGCCCGAUACUGACGCUGAGGUGCGAAAGCGUGGGGAGCAAACA
This 402-nucleotide ribosomal RNA is filed under the name uncultured bacterium. RNAcentral's name for it is "bacterial SSU rRNA". It matches the Rfam family "Bacterial small subunit ribosomal RNA", at positions 355 to 774 of the family's 1533-position model. The record is from RNAcentral.